Long non-coding RNA from Lotus japonicus, 661 nucleotides. RefSeq lists it as uncharacterized. The record is from RefSeq and is a predicted model, not a curated record. The transcript has 3 exons. Lineage: Eukaryota; Viridiplantae; Streptophyta; Magnoliopsida; Fabales; Fabaceae.
AGCGUAGAUCGGCAGAAUAAGGGGGCUUCGGUGGCAAGUAAACUUAAAUCGCAGCAACGGAAGCAGGGAAAUGACUCCUCAUCCACCCAAAACAAGCGUUCAAAUCAGAACACGGUGUCGACAAAACAAAAUAAGCGUAAAUCUAAGCAGCGAGAAGUCCCAGUCAUGAUUCAUUCAAGCCAAGUAUCUGUGAAUGAAGUGACUCAGAGUUCACCGAAUAAUGCAGGUCGCGGUGAUGUGGAUAACAACAGAGUUACUUUGUUGCCCCAGCAUCCACAGGAAAUACCUUUGACCCAAGAAUCUGUGAAUCAGGUAAUUAGGAUGGUUGUAUAAUUUAUUUAUUUUCCCUUCAGUGGUGUUUACUCAAGUUUCUCAUUAAAUUGUUUUCUCGUGGACAUAAUCUGGGUAGGUACAGGUUUAUAACAUGGAGCCUAUUGUACAACAAGUCCACUAUCCUGUUGUUCGUGCUUCAGCUGGACUUCCAUUUUUGCAACCUACUUAUGCCGUGAAUAUGACUAAUGGAGUUCAGGUGUUUCCACAGUUUAUACAGCACCAAAACGUCCAGGUUCCUUACCAAGGAGUUCAGAUGCAAACUCUAUUUCAAGCUGGACCUUCUGGCUUACUCCCGACAUUUUCAUCGACGUUGGCGGCAGUCGAUAGG